Molecule: small nuclear RNA, 103 nt
Organism: Dromiciops gliroides (monito del monte)
Lineage: Eukaryota; Metazoa; Chordata; Mammalia; Microbiotheria; Microbiotheriidae
Source: RefSeq, a predicted model, not a curated record
GUGCUCGCUUCGGCAGCACAUAUACUAAAAUUGGAACGAUACAGAGAAGAUUAGCAAAAAAAAAAAAAAUGGAACCUGAGGUUCAGAGAGGUUACCUAAGCUA